This 695-nucleotide long non-coding RNA is filed under the name Prunus persica (peach). Its description in RNAcentral is "long non-coding RNA (PPER_LNC000076)". Lineage: Eukaryota; Viridiplantae; Streptophyta; Magnoliopsida; Rosales; Rosaceae. The record is from RNAcentral.
CAAGGGGUAAGGGACUAGGGGCCAGGUGCUGUUUUAGCCUCUCAAAAUGAUAUAUUCACAAAAUCUAGCUUCUCAAUUUUUUUGUGGUUCUAGUAGCAGUGAGGGGCUAGGGGCUAGGAGCUAGGGGCUAAAACUCAAAACUUAUUAUUUUAGUUUAUUAUUAUUUUAUUUGUGAUAAAAAUCAAAGCAUAAGAAAAGCAACACAAAAAAUUUGAGCAAAAAGACAAACACUUAUUUUUCUUCAUUUUCAUUUAAUUUUGUAGUUACUAAAAAAAGAUAUCUAAGUGUUGGAUUUUGAAGUAUAAAGAUAAGUAUAUGUGAGAAGAAGAUGAAGAUGAAAGCCUAUUUAUUGAGGUUUGAAUGUAGAAAUGUAAAGAGAAUAAACAAGUAAAAGGUUUGAAGUAUAUUUUUUUUUUAAAAGAAAAGAAAAGGUAAAAAAAGGCUCAACUAGCUGUUGAAAAAUAGAAAGGAAAAAAAGCACUAAAAAAAAAUUAAAAAUCCAAGCAACUAGCCAUUAGGCAAUAGUCAUUGAAGGAGCCACAUGAUAGAUCCUCAUAUUUAAGGACCCGCCCCGAAUUUUCUCAAAAUCCGAGACGAACUCUUUGGAAUUCCUGACAUCACCCCGAUGUCAGGCCCACUUACUAAAAACCGAGACUUCCUGCCGAAAUUUCGGCAGAGUCUCCCCUAUAAUUUGG